AUACCGCAUGCCAUCGAGGCAACACCGUGUGCGGCUGCCAUUGUUGCCAUACACUCGUCGAGAUGCCGUCGGGCUUGUUUUAUUGCCUUCACUUCAGCUUCAUCGUACGGCUAUCAUUUGCCAUCGUAGUCUCGCGCCAUCGUUGUCGUGCACUCGUCGUGAUCUUAUUGCCGUCGUACCAUUUUCAUGACAUUGUUGUUAUUGCGUCUUCAUCACGCGUUCGUCAUCAUACCGCCGUCGUCCGGCCGUCGUCAUCACGUGUCCUUGUGGUUCCAUCGUCGUCAUUCUUUGGCCGCCAUUCUAGCGUAAUCAUACUGUCGUCAUUCAAUCUCCAAUGCGCUGUCGUUGUCGAGCUAAUGACGUCAUCGCGUCGCCACCAAAAAGCCUCCGUCAGGCAUUCGCUGUCCUAUCGUGUUCGUCAUUCCGUCACGGGGCCACCGUCUUCAUCGUUCCAGCUUCGUCAUCCUCUUGUCGUCAUACACUCGCCACGAUUCCGUGUCCGCAUGCCCUAUUUGCCACGCUGUCGUCGUUAUACCACUGUAAUCACUUCAAAAUGUUCAUUUCAUUGUCCUCACGCCACUUCCGUCGUGCUUGCAUCAUCGAAGCCAUUCCGUCUUUAUUCCAUCGUUGUCACUGUAGCCUGCACUUCGCUAUAUUCUUCCUAUGUUCGCGCUUUAUGCUCUUGUGCUUAUACGGGAUGGAAAAUUCCGUUCUCUACGCUUGAAUUACCGCCAGUUGCUCGAUCUCAAAGUUUGUAGACAACGUGCGCUCAAGAAUGUGUGCUUCAUUUUUUGCGCACCGUUUUCGAAGAGGCAGGUGAGGCCAACGCCGGCACAUCUGACCAAAGUGCACGAACACGAAUAACGAGAAUAGAUAGAACAGUGUUGGUGAUAGGUACGCGAGGAAGGUCAAGUAGAUAUGAAAUCUACGUCAUCGUAGCUGUAUUUCAGCUCACUUGCGACACCUCAAGCCGGAUAAGAACCCUAGAAAGCAGCCACCCCGUUUAACCAGUGCGAAAGAACGUAGUCGAAAGAACCAGUGCGAAAGAACGUAGUCGAGCUGCCACCAUGCACGACCAAGGAACAAGCGUGGUGCAUGUGUUGAGCGGGCAUGCCGUCACCGGCGUGAACUGGAGACCAACGUGGUUUGCCGAAGACGUGCCACAUUCGCGCAUCUGUGGCCUCUGCCACAUGGUACCCGAGAGGACGGUGCUGUUGCCGUGCUCGCACUUUCUGUGCGAUGCCUGUAGCGCGGCGACAGAUCAAGAUGGUGUGCCCCUUGGAUAUGAAGACAUUCGAAGAGGACGAGUGCUCGUGGAUUGACUUCCCUGCCAGGAGAGCGAUAAAUCUCAAGGCACACUGCUGGAAUAGGGCUGAUGGCUGCGACUUCGUAGGUACAAUCAAAGCUGUAUUGCAACACUACGAGACAGAAUGUGCCCACCACGCCCUCAAGUGUCCGCGGUGCGAACGAAGGAUACUGCACCGAGACCUCGGGGCACAUUACGUGGCGGGGUGCUCUCGAAGUGAUCCCUCUGCAAGUGGCGCACAGCCGAACCUGCAGAAAAGUUCAUUGACCAUUCGUGAUGCGAGUGCCACGCUGGAGGAAAUCAAGUCCUUGAGAGCAUUCUGUCACGACCAGCUGUCUGCUCUUCAGAUAAAAGUUAACGGGCUCCUGGAACUAUCCAAAACCUCGGAUGCAGCGCGAUAUCCGGAUAUCAGCCGCGUGGUCAGGGAUUUAGAAAACUGCUUGGCAUGCAAAUUGUAAGGAAUAGCGGCCCAAAUCACCCGUAUGUUCACGCGUCAACUGAAUGACGGUCUGAAUAAACUAAAGGCACUUCUCAGGGAACCAGGGAUUGAUCACGCGCCUACUGUUCAGACUGAAAUUAACAAACGCGCUGAAGAAUCAAGGGCUCGCGAAACCGCCUACUUAGAGAAAACCACUGGUGUCCUUAGAGACUCUGAAACUAAAUCGAAGGCAGAAGUGAACAAAGUUAGGGCAAAUCUUUCUGCAACGCUCACGCAGCAACAUCGGUCUCAGGAAAGAGCAGUUGAUUCUUUGCCGCGGAAAUGCGUAUCUCCGGAGUAUGAAGAGGCCGCUGUUGUAACCGCUUCAGGGGAAUGGAAGAUUCCGUGGCACUUGGGAAAAGAAGCUAAUUCUGCUAAAGUUGGAAAUCUUCGCUCACGCAUUCAUGAGCACUCUAGAAUUAUUUCGCCAAGAAAACCAGCCACAGGCAGAUUGACUCUUCGUUUGGAAUCAUCCACGCCAUCUGGCAGAACUCGCGGACCGUGUGAACGA
Dermacentor albipictus is the source of this 2295-nucleotide non-coding RNA. The record is from RefSeq and is a predicted model, not a curated record. Lineage: Eukaryota; Metazoa; Arthropoda; Arachnida; Ixodida; Ixodidae.